This 425-nucleotide ribosomal RNA is filed under the name uncultured bacterium. RNAcentral describes it as "bacterial SSU rRNA". It matches the Rfam family "Bacterial small subunit ribosomal RNA", at positions 354 to 796 of the family's 1533-position model. The record is from RNAcentral.
GUGGGGAAUAUUGCACAAUGGAGGAAACUCUGAUGCAGCGACGCCGCGUGAGUGAAGAAGUAGUUCGCUAUGUAAAGCUCUAUCAGCAGGGAAGAUAGUGACGGUACCUGACUAAGAAGCUCCGGCUAAAUACGUGCCAGCAGCCGCGGUAAUACGUAUGGAGCAAGCGUUAUCCGGAUUUACUGGGUGUAAAGGGAGUGUAGGUGGCCAGGCAAGUCAGAAGUGAAAGCCCGGGGCUCAACCCCGGGACUGCUUUUGAAACUGCAGGGCUAGAGUGCAGGAGGGGCAAGUGGAAUUCCUAGUGUAGCGGUGAAAUGCGUAGAUAUUAGGAGGAACACCAGUGGCGAAGGCGGCUUGCUGGACUGUAACUGACACUGAGGCUCGAAAGCGUGGGGAGCAAACAGGAUUAGAAACCCUAGUAGUCC